Molecule: ribosomal RNA, 259 nt
Filed under: uncultured bacterium
Lineage: Bacteria
Description: partial 16S ribosomal RNA
Rfam family: Bacterial small subunit ribosomal RNA
Source: RNAcentral
GAUCCUGGCUCAGGAUGAACGCUGGCGGCGUGCUUAACACAUGCAAGUCGAACGGGAAAUACUUUAUUGAAACUUUGGUGGAUUUAAUUUAUUUCUAGUGGCGGACGGGUGAGUAACGCGUGGGUAACCUGCCUUAUACUGGGGGAUAACAGCCAGAAAUGACUGCUAAUACCGCAUAAGCGCACAGAACCGCAUGGUUCCGUGUGAAAAACUCCGGUGGUAUAAGAUGGACCCGCGUUGGAUUAGCUAGUUGGCAGGG